This 89-nucleotide ribosomal RNA is filed under the name Tissierellia bacterium. Lineage: Bacteria; Bacillati; Bacillota; Tissierellia. The record is from RNAcentral.
CUGUACCCAUACCGAACACAGAAGUUAAGCAUCUCAGCGGCGAUGGUACUAGGGUGGAGACGCCCUGGGAGAGUAGCACGUUGCCAGAC